Molecule: ribosomal RNA, 449 nt
Filed under: uncultured bacterium
Lineage: Bacteria
Description: partial 16S ribosomal RNA
Rfam family: Bacterial small subunit ribosomal RNA
Source: RNAcentral
AGCGAACGCUGGCGGCAGGCCUAACACAUGCAAGUCGAACGAACUCUUCGGAGUUAGUGGCGGACGGGUGAGUAACACGUGGGAACGUGCCUUUAGGUUCGGAAUAACUCAGGGAAACUUGUGCUAAUACCGAAUGUGCCCUUCGGGGGAAAGAUUUAUCGCCUUUAGAGCGGCCCGCGUCUGAUUAGCUAGUUGGUGAGGUAAAGGCUCACCAAGGCGACGAUCAGUAGCUGGUCUGAGAGGAUGAUCAGCCACAUUGGGACUGAGACACGGCCCAAACUCCUACGGGAGGCAGCAGUGGGGAAUCUUGCGCAAUGGGCGAAAGCCUGACGCAGCCAUGCCGCGUGAAUGAUGAAGGUCUUAGGAUUGUAAAAUUCUUUCACCGGGGACGAUAAUGACAGUACCCGGAGAGGAAGCCCCGGCUAACUUCGUGCCAGCCGCCGCAGUAA